RNAcentral lists this ribosomal RNA (241 nucleotides) under uncultured Staphylococcus sp. Its description in RNAcentral is "partial 16S ribosomal RNA". It matches the Rfam family "Bacterial small subunit ribosomal RNA", at positions 99 to 334 of the family's 1533-position model. Lineage: Bacteria; Bacillati; Bacillota; Bacilli; Caryophanales; Staphylococcaceae. The record is from RNAcentral.
CGGACGGGUGAGUAACACGUGGAUAACCUACCUAUAAGACUGGGAUAACUUCGGGAAACCGGAGCUAAUACCGGAUAAUAUAUUGAACCGCAUGGUUCAAUAGUGAAAGACGGUUUUGCUGUCACUUAUAGAUGGAUCCGCGCCGCAUUAGCUAGUUGGUAAGGUAACGGCUUACCAAGGCAACGAUGUGUAGCCGACCUGAGAGGGUGAUCGGCCACACUGGAACUGAGACACGGUCCAG